RNAcentral lists this long non-coding RNA (2350 nucleotides) under Triticum aestivum (bread wheat). RNAcentral describes it as "long non-coding RNA (TAES_LNC013915)". The record is from RNAcentral. Lineage: Eukaryota; Viridiplantae; Streptophyta; Magnoliopsida; Poales; Poaceae.
AAAUUUCUCAUAUAUUAAAUCAACUUGGUUGCAUUACAAAGGACACGAUACAAAGAUUACAACAUGUGAAGCUAGUAGUAAUCCUACUGUUGACCUUGCAACCAACGUCUCAGCCAUUCUGAAACAUUGACACCGAAAAUAUCUGAAACAUAAUGAUUGAAACAUUGGCACUGGACAUGGAAUUCUAAGACACAAUGUGAAACUAUCUAAUAGCACUCCUAUUCUUGACCAAUAUCUGAGCCAUGCAUCAUCGAAUACAGCAAUCUACAACAAAGAAACGAAAUAGGUUAAUAGGGCAAAAAAAUUGGAAGGAGGAGCAACAUGGAAAGGUCGAAGGCAAUGUGAUAGUUAAUCUUGCUGCAUGACUAAUAAUUUUGACUCUUUUUAGUAGUUAUAAAAACUUGUAAGAUUUUGCUAAUGUAGCAUCAACGCGCAAUACCAAGAAUUCAUUACCAAGUUUAACAUCAUCAACUUUAGAUUUAUAUUCGGGGUCGAUACUUUGGAUUAAAGUAAGAGGAGCAUUGUUGUUCGGAUGUGUCCAGUAUAAUAUUUGUAGCUAACAAUAGUCAUUUUAGCUUACAGUACACUAACUCAGCCUGUUUCAUUAGUAAGUUUCACCCUGUUAACAGAAACAAAGUGUUUUAUAGGGGUGGGAAAAUGUAAGGCAGGCAUAAAGUAGUUGAUGAAUUGUUUAACCUAAUCUAACCGAAAUGAGUCUUAUCUCACAGAAGCAGUGUUCUCUUGUACAAAUUAGGUAGGAAAAAAAAGAGAAGCAUGUGUAAGAUAAUAAAAUGUAGUCAAGUAAUGCUAUUAAUACUCCAAACUUUCCAUUCGAUCUGGUGAAGAAUCAUUCACGCAAUAUAGAACUACUAUCAGAAAAUACCUCCUAGUAAAUCCAGCUUGGCACUAAUAUGUUUUAGCGCCAGCAACAUCGACUUGGAACAAUCUAGUCUCUGUAACCUGCUGAUUUGGCAUAUGCAUUAGUAAUCUAUGUUCGGUUGUGCUCACUGAAUCGAUGGCAUCAAAAUAGCCGAACACAUGUGUACGAAAAAUUUAGCGUACUCUUUAUUCUUUUAUAUCAGAACUCUUACAUAAGCUUGCUUUUUUACGGAAAAACUCUUGCACGACCUGGUUCCAUGAUAUGACCUGCUACAUGGCCAAAGCAAUCCAAACCUACGCUGACUUAAUAGCAUCUAGAACGACUCAGACUGCAGUGCCCUUUUACUAGACUAGUAAGGCAUGCUGAGUCCAAGACAUACUAGUACAGCAUGUAGGCUACUAGCUAUGCAAACUCAUUGAACCAUAUAUGGACUACAGAACACAAAUGCUUACGACAUGCAAACGAGACAUGUUGGAAAACUAACUAAUCAACCUAUCAAAAUUAGACUCAAACUUGGCUAGUUAAACUAGCAUGGACACCUACCAAACUACUUAAAAUGAUUCUAACAAUUUAGAAGACCACACCAUUAGUGCAGUGCCAGGCUGCCAACGUAUCAGUAUAUGCCAACAUUUACUAAAUAGGUUUCGCUUUCUUAGUUCACUUGUUUACCGAGAACAUGGAAACUUAGAGCAGUUCCAGUAUGCUCUUCUUUGUCACCAUGGUUGCCGGAUGCUCAAACUGUUGGCCUGAAUAGGUAGAGGAGAAGGUUCUAAGUAUUACAGAGAAGAGGAGAUCCUAGUAAGAUCCAAUAGUUUGGGAUCAGUGAAUUCGACGUACCUGACACACUUGCACAGUCGCCGUAUCUGAUCGCUUAGGUGUCUGUUUAUGCUUGUUAGUAACAUCCCACCACCAUAGUGUGCCUGUAUGUCAGGGAAGCAGAGUGCACAAGAGGAAUAAGUUUGACAGUUUAAGGAGAAUAUGUUACAAACAAGAUAAGAUGUGAGAGGCACCUGGCCAAGAGUUUGUGUGCUGACCAAUCAUGCAUCAUUCUAUCUUUGGAAACGUCUGUGGCUCCCCACAAAAUACAAAUUAGUACAGAGAUUGCAGGAAUUCAGAAGUACCCGUAUUUCCAAAAAAAAUGCACUGAACUUGAUUUAAAGGUGAGAUUUCAAUAAUAUGAGUCAAAUACAUAUGACGAGAAUAUCAAGGUACGAUGUUCUUGUAACUCACGUUCAAAAUUUAUCAAUUAUUUAACAGUUUAUAUUGGAUAACAUGAGUGUAAGAAUUAUUUCCAUCUGAGCUUUUGCAUAAAGUUAGAGAUUGAGGUGUGCACAUUUUUACUGAAUAAGAAGCUGAAACUAAUAUAACUUUUUGUAGGGGAAAACAAAUAUUACAUCAACCGAAAAGAUAGAAUAAGAUACAAAUUCACGUUUUCCUUACUGUAACAUGAACUAGCGAAAACAUCCUCAC